Molecule: ribosomal RNA, 497 nt
Filed under: uncultured bacterium
Lineage: Bacteria
Description: partial 16S ribosomal RNA
Rfam family: Bacterial small subunit ribosomal RNA
Source: RNAcentral
GAUGAACGCUGGCGGCGUGCCUAAUACAUGCAAGUCGAGCGAACAGAUGAGGAGCUUGCUCCUCUGACGUUAGCGGCGGACGGGUGAGUAACACGUGGAUAACGUACCUAUAAGACUGGGAUAACUUCGGGAAACCGGAGCUAAUACCGGAUAAUAUAUUGAACCGCAUGGUUCAAUAGUGAAAGACGGUUUUGCUGUCACUUAUAGAUGGAUCCGCGCCGCAUUAGCUAGUUGGUAAGGUAACGGCUUACCAAGGCAACGAUGCGUAGCCGACCUGAGAGGGUGAUCGGCCACACUGGAACUGAGACACGGUCCAGACUCCUACGGGAGGCAGCAGUAGGGAAUCUUCCGCAAUGGGCGAAAGCCUGACGGAGCAACGCCGCGUGAGUGAUGAAGGUCUUCGGAUCGUAAAACUCUGUUAUUAGGGAAGAACAAAUGUGUAAGUAACUAUGCACGUCUUGACGGUACCUAAUCAGAAAGCCACGGCUAACUACGUG